Molecule: ribosomal RNA, 492 nt
Filed under: Sibynophis collaris (collared black-headed snake)
Lineage: Eukaryota; Metazoa; Chordata; Lepidosauria; Squamata; Sibynophiidae
Description: partial 12S ribosomal RNA
Source: RNAcentral
GCCUAACCCUAACAUGGCGAUUAAAUAACCAAUUGCCCGCCAAAUAACUACGAGUAAAAACUUAAAAUUUAAAAGACUUGACGGUACUUCAAAACAACCUAGAGGAGCCUGUCUAAUAACCGAUACUCCACGAUCAACCCCACCCUUUCUAGCCAACAGUCUAUAUACCGCCGUCGCCAGCUUACCUUGUGAAAGAACCAAAGUGAGCUCAAUAGUCUAACACUAACACGACAGGUCGAGGUGUAACUCAUGAACGGGCUCAGAUGGGCUACAUUUUCUAACCCAGAAAAUACGAAUAACCUAUGAAACUAGAAACUGAAGGCGGAUUUAGCAGUACGCUAAGAACAGAAUACUUAGCCGAAACAAACGCAAUGAAGUGCGUACACACCGCCCGUCAUCCCUGUCAAAAUAUACUAAUUUAUAUAAAACACACCAACCCCCAAACAGGGCAAGUCGUAACAUGGUAAGUGUACUGGAAAGUGUACUUAGAAA